This 465-nucleotide ribosomal RNA is filed under the name uncultured bacterium. Its description in RNAcentral is "partial 16S ribosomal RNA". It matches the Rfam family "Bacterial small subunit ribosomal RNA", at positions 338 to 795 of the family's 1533-position model. The record is from RNAcentral.
CCUACGGGUGGCAGCAGUGGGGAAUAUUGCGCAAUGGGCGAAAGCCUGACGCAGCGACGCCGCGUGAGGGAUGAAGGUCUUCGGAUCGUAAACCUCUGUCAGCAGGGAAGAACGGUCACUGUGCUAAUCAGCAGUGAAUUGACGGUACCUGCAAAGGAAGCACCGGCUAACUCCGUGCCAGCAGCCGCGGUAAUACGGAGGGUGCGAGCGUUAAUCGGAAUUACUGGGCGUAAAGCGCUCGUAGGCGGUAUGUCAAGUCAAGGGUGAAAUCCCCGCGCUCAACGUGGGAACUGCCUGUGAAACGGGCAAACUGGAGUGUGUGAGAGGAGAGUGGAAUUCCAGGUGUAGGAGUGAAAGCCGUAGAUAUCUGGAGGAACAUCAGUGGCGAAGGCGACUAUCUGGCACAUAACUGACGCUGAGGAGCGAAAGCGUGGGUAGCAAACAGGAUUAGAUACCCUUGUAGUC